Molecule: ribosomal RNA, 544 nt
Filed under: uncultured bacterium
Lineage: Bacteria
Description: partial 16S ribosomal RNA
Rfam family: Bacterial small subunit ribosomal RNA
Source: RNAcentral
UGGGGAAUUUUGGACAAUGGGCGAAAGCCUGAUCCAGCAAUGCCGCGUGUGUGAAGAAGGCCUUCGGGUUGUAAAGCACUUUUGUCCGGAAAGAAAUCCUUGGCUCUAAUACAGUCGGGGGAUGACGGUACCGGAAGAAUAAGCACCGGCUAACUACGUGCCAGCAGCCGCGGUAAUACGUAGGGUGCAAGCGUUAAUCGGAAUUACUGGGCGUAAAGCGUGCGCAGGCGGUUUGCUAAGACCGAUGUGAAAUCCCCGGGCUCAACCUGGGAACUGCAUUGGUGACUGGCAGGCUAGAGUAUGGCAGAGGGGGGUAGAAUUCCACGUGUAGCAGUGAAAUGCGCAGAGAUGUGGAGGAAUACCGAUGGCGAAGGCAGCCCCCUGGGCCAAUACUGACGCUCAUGCACGAAAGCGUGGGGAGCAAACAGGAUUAGAUACCCUGGUAGUCCACGCCCUAAACGAUGUCAACUAGUUGUUGGGGAUUCAUUCCUUAGUAACGUAGCUAACGCGUGAAGUUGACCGCCUGGGGAGUACGGUCGCAAGA